GUCGAGCGAGAACCGUAGCAAUACGGGGACAGCGGCGAAAGGGACAGUAAUGUGUAGGUACCUACCCCCGGGUUCGAGAUAGCUGCGGGAAACUGCAGGUAAUACCGAAUAAUGUCUCCGGACCAAAGGUGUGAUUCCACCUGGGGAGGGGCCUGCAUCCUAUUAGCUUGUUGGUGGGGUAACGGCCUACCAAGGCAACGAUGGGUAGCGGGUGUGAGAGCAUGACCCGCGUCAUUGGGACUGAGACACUGCCCAGACACCUACGGGUGGCUGCAGUCGAGAAUCUUCGGCAAUGGGCGAAAGCCUGACCGAGCGACGCCGCGUGCGGGAUGAAGGCCCUCGGGUUGUAAACCGCUGUCGUAGAGGAGGAAAUGCAGGGGGGUUCUCCCCUUUGCUUGACCUAUUCUAGGAGGAAGUACGGGCUAAGUUCGUGCCAGCAGCCGCGGUAAGACGAACCGUACAAACGUUACUCGGAAUUACUGGGCUUAAAGGGUGCGUAGGCUGCGCGGAAAGUUGGGUGUGAAAGCCCUCGGCUCAACCGAGGAAUUGCAUUCAAAACUACCGUGCUCGAGGGAGACAGAGGUAAGCGGAACUCAAGGUGGAGCGGUGAAAUGCGUUGAUAUCUUGAGGAACACCGGUGGCGAAGGCGGCUUACUGGGUCUCUUCUGACGCUGAGGCACGAAAGCUAAGGUAGCAAACGGGAUUAGAUACCCCGGUAGUCUUAGCUGUAAACGAUGAGCACUUGAUUGGAGGGUCCUCCAUAGCCUUCCAGUCGUAGCGAAAGUGUUAAGUGCUCCGCCUGGGGAGUAUGGUCGCAAGGC
Molecule: ribosomal RNA, 821 nt
Filed under: uncultured Planctomycetota bacterium
Lineage: Bacteria; Pseudomonadati; Planctomycetota
Description: bacterial SSU rRNA
Rfam family: Bacterial small subunit ribosomal RNA
Source: RNAcentral